Pantherophis guttatus is the source of this 1566-nucleotide non-coding RNA. NCBI's taxonomy places the organism in Eukaryota, Metazoa, Chordata, Lepidosauria, Squamata, Colubridae. The record is from RefSeq and is a predicted model, not a curated record.
UUUUUUUUUUAAACACACUAAAGGGGAAAAUAAGCAGGUAGUUGUGUUUCUUUUAAGUGGAAAUCAUAUUAAAAUGCAUCUGUAAGUAGAAGCUAGGAAGGAAAGAUGUGUGCAAACCAAGGUCUUGUGGGGAAUGAUGUCCGCUCUGUCUGGUGAACAGCAAUGCAUAAAGGAAAAUUUACUGAAAAAUCGGUCAGUGGAGAAUAGUCAUCACAGCACAAGUCAAGUCCCAAAUAGCAACAUGUUUCAAGGUACAGUAGUGAACACAGAGAGUUCAACAUAAAGAUCAUCAGAUGAAUCAAAAGCGGUCUGGAAUUAACUAUCUAGCAUGUAAAGAAGUACACAUCCAGUUGGGAAAUCUGCAUGUGGCAUGAUGAUAAACUUGUUCUAUGUCUUCAUAUGAAUGAACAUUUCUCUUGAUAUUUGAGAAUGCAGGACAAUCAGGUAAUUAAAAGGAAGUUUCCUUUCCAAUCCACUUAUGAUUAAUAAUUUUAAGGAAAGCUAUGCUUGUGGAACAUACCAUUGGGUGUUACUUUCCCAUAAUUUGCUUCUGAUUACAUGUGGAAAGUAUAGAAUUACAGAGAAUGGGCAGGGAAGACUCAUCUUUCUAAGACUUUAAUAACAAAGUAAUGAAUUCAAUGGAAAGACUGACAAUAUGAAUUUAGUGUUUCUCCCCUACAAUUAAUUUUGUGCACAUAUCAAAUGGAUCAUGUGUAAUAUUGAUAUUGAGUAAAUAUCAAAUGGAUCAUUUUUACACUAAAUGUUCAAAUAUUCAGGGCAUUUGACCAUUGAUAUUAUUCAAUGUCUUGCUAUAUUUUGCCUGCAGAAAGUGCUUCUGAGACUUGUCGUACUAUCCUCUUAUCAAAGGUAAGAUCUGGAUUAUCAUUCGUGAUAUUCAGAAAGCUUUUGAAAUGUGGCUUUUUCAAUCUGAAUUUGGAUAUUGAGAAAUCCACAAGAGAUGGUGAGAAGGUGGAAGUGAUAAAAUAUGAGUCAUGCAUGUUCUGCCUCUAACAGAUAUGCAAUAUUUUGCCAGGUCAUUUAUAAAUGGGUGAAGUUUGUGUUGUGAUUUCAACAUGCACAUUUUGUCAUUUUAGCAUCAUCAUCACUAGCUGCAGACACCUGAUUCAGGGACUGAAGGAUGAAUAGUUAGAUAUCUACCCAUGACAUUAAAUCGAAAGGACUGACAAUAAUAGAGGCAAUUUUAAACAGAUAUUGAAAUAUGUGAUGACAUGUUUUAAUGAUGGUGCUAUAUUUUAUAAUCAGGAAUGACUAAGAAUUAAACCACUACAUUAUGGUAUAGUUCUAUGAUUUGGGUCUACGUUUUAUGAUCAUUGUAAUUUGAAUCAAAUUCUGUAUUUUCCUUCUUGAGAGUCAUUUAUUUUAGAAUUAUUGAAACUGCAUAAACACAUUUUAUAAUAAAUAAAUAAAUUUGGAACUUUGACUUCAAUUUAUCGCCCCAAAUGUUUGUUAAUGGGCUGACUUUGUUUUUCUUCUGUCUUCUUCUGUCUUCUCAUUUGAAUUGUAAGAUUUUGGUUAAUGUAAAAUACUAAUAAAAAGCAAAAUGGU